Small nucleolar RNA from Otolemur garnettii (small-eared galago), 208 nucleotides. Its record names the gene U3. It matches the Rfam family "Small nucleolar RNA U3". Rfam says of the family: Small nucleolar RNAs (snoRNAs) are involved in the processing and modification of rRNA in the nucleolus. There are two main classes of snoRNAs: the box C/D class, and the box H/ACA class. U3 snoRNA is a member of the box C/D class. Lineage: Eukaryota; Metazoa; Chordata; Mammalia; Primates; Galagidae. The record is from Ensembl.
AAGACUAUACUUUCAGGGAUCAUUUCUAUAGUUCUUUACUAGAGAAGUCUCUCUGAAUGGGUAGAGCCCUGGAAAUCACAAGGAAGUGGUCAGUGUUCACUCCUGAGCAUGAAGCCGGCUGUGGGUGUUGCUUUACCAUGAUUGCCAUUUGCCAUUGAUGAUCAUUCUUCUCUUCCUUUGAGGGAGUAAGAGGGAGGGAACACAGAAA